Non-coding RNA from Chiloscyllium plagiosum (whitespotted bambooshark), 916 nucleotides. NCBI's taxonomy places the organism in Eukaryota, Metazoa, Chordata, Chondrichthyes, Orectolobiformes, Hemiscylliidae. The record is from RefSeq and is a predicted model, not a curated record.
AGCAGAGAGAGGGAGAUCAGGUUCGGAGAGCGCGUGAGGUAACAGUCAGCACCAUCACACCCCUCAUGUUCUAGAUGAAAACAAGUGAAGGCAUCUGCUUCUCAACCUGCCCAGGAUUACAGAGAUGCUGUCAGGCCUGCUGAGUCGCUCCAGCACUUUCUGGUUUCGUUCCAAAAAGACAAUUGCCUUCAGAACAGCAAUUAAAGUAUAAUUGAGGUCUCCCAGAACCAAAACAAUUUUAUGAAGAUUCUGAAUUAAAAUGGGAGGAGUUUAUUGAAACUGAAUCCCAUUGGAAGAUAGCAAGAGACAGUUAAUAACAUUGAUAAUAAAUAAACAAUAAAAUGUUGAACAGAGAUCUUGAUUGUUCAUCUUGUAUGAUGUAACCAUGAUUUCUUUUGUCCAAUAAGUACAAUGGUUUUAAGAGUGCAACUCUGAAAACAUUUGAGAGAAGACUGAGAUACCAGAGUAUGGAUGUGAACUAUGGUGAGCAAUGUAUCUGAACGUCUGUGUAAAUAAUCUGUUCAAAACUUACAACGCGGGGGCUGUGAAAAAGCCCAGAGGUAAUGUGGAAAAACACAGCUGCAAUCUUCAUGAUGUUUAAAUCAUUUCAAAAUAACCUCCUCUCUUAUUUCCUGCAAUAAAGAACCUGUUACUCCCUAAAUGGUUAUUAAAAUGUUAAUAGUGUGUGGUUAAUACAUUACAGUUGGAAAAAGUUGUGUCAUUUUAUUCCUACCCAGAGACUGAAACAUGAACUCCAACUCUGAACCUUUAAACUAACUAAAACAGAACAACUUUCACAUCUGAGUAAACAGAAUAAAUUCGACUUUCUGAAACAAAAACAGAAAAUGCUGGAAACACUCCGCAGGUCAGGCAGCAUCUGUUAAAAUUAAAAUGCCGAUGUAUGGUCCUGUAUCGA